GACGAACGCUGGCGGCGUGCUUAACACAUGCAAGUCGAACGGAAAGGCCCUGCUUUUGUGGGGUGCUCGAGUGGCGAACGGGUGAGUAACACGUGAGUAACCUGCCCUUGACUUUGGGAUAACUUCAGGAAACUGGGGCUAAUACCGGAUAGGAGCUCCUGCUGCAUGGUGGGGGUUGGAAAGUUUCGGCGGUUGGGGAUGGACUCGCGGCUUAUCAGCUUGUUGGUGGGGUAGUGGCUUACCAAGGCUUUGACGGGUAGCCGGCCUGAGAGGGUGACCGGCCACAUUGGGACUGAGAUACGACCCAGACUACUACGGGAGGCAGCAGUGGGGAAUAUUGCACAAUGGGCGGAAGCCUGAUGCAGCAACGCCGCGUGCGGGAUGACGGCCUUCGGGUUGUGAACCGCUUUCGCCUGUGACGAAGCGUGAGUGACGGUAAUGGGUAAAGAAGCACCGGCUAACUACGUG
RNAcentral lists this ribosomal RNA (468 nucleotides) under uncultured bacterium. RNAcentral's name for it is "partial 16S ribosomal RNA". It matches the Rfam family "Bacterial small subunit ribosomal RNA", at positions 28 to 507 of the family's 1533-position model. The record is from RNAcentral.